RNAcentral lists this ribosomal RNA (474 nucleotides) under uncultured bacterium. RNAcentral describes it as "bacterial SSU rRNA". It matches the Rfam family "Bacterial small subunit ribosomal RNA", at positions 28 to 512 of the family's 1533-position model. The record is from RNAcentral.
GAUAAACGCUGGCGGCGUGCUUAACACAUGCAAGUCGAACGGACUGAUGAGAGAGCUUGCUCUUUCUGAAAGUUAGUGGCGGACGGGUGAGUAACGCGUGGGAAACCUGCCUUACACUGGGGGAUAACAGAUGGAAACGCCUGUUAAUACCGCAUAAGCGCACGGUGCUGCAUGGCACCGUGUGAAAAACUCCGGUGGUGUAAGAUGGUCCCGCGUCUGAUUAGCUAGUUGGUGAGGUAACGGCCCACCAAGGCGACGAUCAGUAGCCGGCCUGAGAGGGCGUACGGCCACAUUGGGACUGAGACACGGCCCAAACUCCUACGGGAGGCAGCAGUGGGGAAUAUUGCACAAUGGGGGAAACCCUGAUGCAGCGACGCCGCGUGAGUGAAGAAGAUUUCGGUAUGUAAAGCUCUAUCAGCAGGAAAGAUAAUGACGGUACCUGACUAAGAAGCAACCGGCUAAAUACGUGCCAGC